UUGAUGUUGAUGAGGGACUCCGAACCCUUCCGGGGACGUCGGCUGCUAACAAAAUGGGCCACAAACUGAUGGCUCAUCUGAUCAAAAGAAAAGAUGGUACCCGACUUCAGCGUCGAGUACCAGUUUCUCAUCGCUCCCUUCAAGGUGGAUGGGAAAGCUCGGCAUAGGAUGGCGUUCGGCGUGCCAUGAAGCAGCUCAUUGUCCG
This 205-nucleotide long non-coding RNA is filed under the name Elaeis guineensis (African oil palm). RNAcentral describes it as "long non-coding RNA (EGUI_LNC062083)". Lineage: Eukaryota; Viridiplantae; Streptophyta; Magnoliopsida; Arecales; Arecaceae. The record is from RNAcentral.